UACGGCUCAGUAACACGUAGUUAAUCUACCCUUAGGUGAAGGAUACCCACGGGAAACUGUGGUUAAUACUUCAUAGAGGCUAUGCGCUGGAACGCGCCUGCCUUGAAAUUCGUGCCUAAGGAUGAGACUGCGGAUGAUUAGCUUGUUGGUGGGGUAACUGCCUACCAAGGCGAUGAUCAUUACGGGCUCUUAGCGGAGUUGCCCGGAGAAGGAAUCUGAGACACAAUUCCUAGCUCUACGGAGUGCAGCAGCAGCGAAUCAUUUACAAUGCACGAAAGUGUGAUAAUGCGAGCCAAAGUGCUUUUCUUUUUGAAAAGCUUUUACCCACUGUAAAAAAGUGGGAGAAUAAGGACUGGGAAAGACUGGUGCCAGCCGCCGCGGUAAUACCAGCAGUUCAAGUCGCAUCCCUUAUUAUUGGGUCUAAAACAUCCGUAGCUUGCCAUAUAAGUCUCUUGUGAAAUCCCACGUCUCAAGCGUGGUGAAGUGCAGGAGAUACUGUAUGGCUAGAGAUCGGUAGACGUAAGGAGUACGCCGGAGGUAGUGGUAAAAUACGUUAAUCUUCGGUGGACUAACAAUGAGCGAAGGCACCUUACGAGGACGAAUCUGACAGUCAGGGAUGAAGGCCAGGGGCGCAAAACGGAUUAGAUACCCGUGUAGUCCUGGCAGUAAACACUGCUCACUAAACAUCGGGCCCUCUUCGGGAGGAUUCGGUGCUGAAGCGAAGGCGAAGAGUGAGCUACCUGGGAAGUAUAGUCGCAAGAUCGAAACUUAAAGGAAUUGGCGGA
This 785-nucleotide ribosomal RNA is filed under the name uncultured archaeon. RNAcentral's name for it is "bacterial SSU rRNA". It matches the Rfam family "Archaeal small subunit ribosomal RNA", at positions 84 to 872 of the family's 1478-position model. The record is from RNAcentral.